CACGUAGGGCGCGAGCGUUGUCCGGAAUUAUUGGGCGUAAAGAGCUCGUAGGCGGUCUGUUGCGUCAGGAGUGAAAACUCGGGGCUUAACCCCGAGCCUGCUUCUGAUACGGGCAGACUAGAGGUAUGCAGGGGAGAACGGAAUUCCUGGUGUAGCGGUGAAAUGCGCAGAUAUCAGGAGGAACACCGGUGGCGAAGGCGGUUCUCUGGGCAUUACCUGACGCUGAGGAGCGAAAGUGUGGGGAGCGAACAGG
Molecule: ribosomal RNA, 253 nt
Filed under: uncultured bacterium
Lineage: Bacteria
Description: partial 16S ribosomal RNA
Rfam family: Bacterial small subunit ribosomal RNA
Source: RNAcentral